GAAACCCCAAAAUGGAGGACUUUACUACCAGGACCUAUGGCACCAGUGGCCUGGACAACAGACCUCUAUUCGGGGAGACGUCUGCCAAGGAUCAAAUCAUCAAUUUAGUUGUUGGCAGUUUAACAUCCUUACUGAUUCUAGUAACGCUGAUCAGUGCUUUUGUUUUCCCUCAACUACCUCCGAAACCGCUGAAUAUAUUUUUUGCUGUCUGCAUCUCUUUGAGUAGCAUUACUGCCUGCAUACUUAUCUACUGGUAUCGACAAGGAGACUUAGAACCGAAGUUUAGAAAGCUAAUUUACUAUAUCAUAUUUUCUAUCAUCAUGUUGUGUAUAUGUGCAAACCUGUACUUCCAUGAUGUGGGAAGGUGAGGCUACCAAGGGGAAGUACUUACCAGGGCUCUUCAAAAUGAUACAUUAGGACAGUGAGUAAUUUUUGGAUAAGGUUAUGCUGAAGAAUCUCCUGCAGAAGUCUGAUACAUGAUUUUCAUGUUAAUUGUAAAUGUAAAAUUCCCUCUUGCAAGGGAGACAUAUCUUAGAUCACUUUGCUUUUUAAAGAGCUGACGUUGCACCUAAACAUUCCAACCCUUAAAGCUCAAACAGCACAAGAAAUUUUCACUUUAGAAAUGAACAUUUUUAUAAUGUGAUUGCAUGGCAAAAGCCUAUGCAACAAACAAAAUCUUGUGUUUUAAGACAAAUAUUCUUUUAUUUUGUUAAACUGAAUAUACGAUUGUUCCCUAGGCAACCAACUUUUGCUUUAUAACUACAAUUUAAUUUCACGUUAACAAAACAGUCAAAAGACAACCUUGUGAAGAUCUAAUUACAAUAAUAAAUAAAAUAAUUUAUAC
Sapajus apella (tufted capuchin) is the source of this 844-nucleotide RNA transcript. It is a transcript of the gene named transmembrane protein 243 pseudogene, with no coding region annotated. The transcript has a single exon. The record is from RefSeq and is a predicted model, not a curated record. Lineage: Eukaryota; Metazoa; Chordata; Mammalia; Primates; Cebidae.